This 253-nucleotide ribosomal RNA is filed under the name uncultured bacterium. RNAcentral describes it as "partial 16S ribosomal RNA". It matches the Rfam family "Bacterial small subunit ribosomal RNA", at positions 524 to 776 of the family's 1533-position model. The record is from RNAcentral.
UACGUAGGGUGCAAGCGUUAAUCGGAAUUACUGGGCGUAAAGCGUGCGCAGGCGGUUAUGCAAGACAGAUGGGAAAUCCCCGGGCUCAACCUGGGAACUGCAUUUGUGACUGCACCGCUGGAGUACGGCAGAGGGGGAUGGAAUUCCGCGUGUAGCAGUGAAAUGCGUAGAUAUGCGGAGGAACACCGAUGGCGAAGGCAAUCCCCUGGGCCUGUACUGACGCUCAUGCACGAAAGCGUGGGGAGCAAACAGG